AUGAACGCUAGCGGCAGGCUUAACACAUGCAAGUCGAGGGGCAGCAUACCCAGCAAUGGGUGAUGGCGACCGGCGGAAGGGUGCGUAACGCGUGAGCAACAUACCCUAUACAGGGGGAUAAGCCAGGGAAACUUGGUCUAAUAUCCCAUAGGAAAUAGAUAAGGCAUCUUAUUUAUUUUAAAGCUUCGGUGGUAUAGGAUUGGCUCGCGUGACAUUAGCUAGAUGGAGGGGUAACGGCCCACCAUGGCAAUGAUGUCUAGGGGUUCUGAGAGGAAGAUCCCCCACACUGGGACUGAGACACGGCCCAGACUCCUACGGGAGGCAGCAGUGAGGAAUAUUGGACAAUGGAUGGAAAUCUGAUCCAGCCAUGCCGCGUGCAGGAAGACGGCCCUAUGGGUUGUAAACUGCUUUUAUACGGGAGCAAUAAGGUCUAUGCAUAGAUUGAUGAGAGUACCGUAUGAAUAAGCAUCGGCUAACUCCGUG
RNAcentral lists this ribosomal RNA (483 nucleotides) under uncultured bacterium. RNAcentral's name for it is "bacterial SSU rRNA". It matches the Rfam family "Bacterial small subunit ribosomal RNA", at positions 29 to 507 of the family's 1533-position model. The record is from RNAcentral.